This 253-nucleotide ribosomal RNA is filed under the name uncultured bacterium. RNAcentral's name for it is "partial 16S ribosomal RNA". It matches the Rfam family "Bacterial small subunit ribosomal RNA", at positions 524 to 776 of the family's 1533-position model. The record is from RNAcentral.
CACGUAGGGGGCAAGCGUUGUUCGGAUUCAUUGGGCGUAAAGGGUGUGUAGGUGGCGCGCUAAGUCGGGUGUGAAAUUUCGGAGCUUAACUCCGAAACUGCAUUCGAUACUGGCGUGCUUGAGGACUGGAGAGGAGACUGGAAUUCAUGGUGUAGCAGUGAAAUGCGUAGAGAUCAUGAGGAAGACCAGUGGCGAAGGCGGGUCUCUGGACAGUUCCUGACACUGAGACACGAAGGCCAGGGGAGCAAACGGG